CCUACGGGUGGCAGCAGUGGGGAAUAUUGGGCAAUGGGCGAAAGCCUGACCCAGCCACGCCGCGUGAAGGAAGACGGCUUUCGGGUUGUAAACUUCUUUUGACAGGGAAGAGCAGAAGCCUGUGCCUAUGGAAUAAGCCACGGCUAACUACGUGCGAGCGGCCGCGGUACUACGUAGGUGGCAAGCGUUGUCCGGCUUUCCUGGGUGUAACGGGCGUGUAGCCGGGCUGACAAGCCAGAUGUGAAAUCCGGGGGCUCAACCCGCGAACUGCAUUUGAAACUGUUGGUCUUGAGUAUCGGAGAGGCAGGCGGAAUUCCUAGUGUAGCGGUGAAAUGCGUAGAUAUGAGGAGGAACACCAGUGGCGAAGGCGGCCUGCUGGACGACAACUGACGGUGAGGCGCGAAAGCGUGGGGAGCAAACAGGAUUAGAUACCCGGGUAGUC
Molecule: ribosomal RNA, 442 nt
Filed under: uncultured bacterium
Lineage: Bacteria
Description: partial 16S ribosomal RNA
Rfam family: Bacterial small subunit ribosomal RNA
Source: RNAcentral